GGGAAUCUACCCUGAACUGCGGAAUAGCUCCGGGAAACUGGAAUUAAUACCGCAUGUGCCCUGAGGGGCAAAGAUUUAUCGGUUCAGGAUGAGCCCGCGUCGGAUUAGCUAGUUGGUGGGGUAAUGGCCUACCAAGGCGACGAUCCGUAGCUGGUCUAAGAGGAUGAUCAGCCACAUUGGGACUGAGACACGGCCCAAACUCCUACGGGAGGCAGCAGUGGGGGAUAUUGGACAAUGGGCGCAAGCCUGAUCCAGCCAUGCCGCGUGAGUGAUGAAGGCCCUAGGGUUGUAAAGCUCUUUCAGUGGGGACGAUAAUGACGGUACCCACAGAAGAAGCCCCGGCUAACUUCGUGCCAGCAGCCGCGGUAAUACGAAGGGGGCUAGCGUUGUUCGGAAUUACUGGGCGUAAAGCGCACGUAGGCGGAUAUUUAAGUCAGGGGUGAAAUCCCGGGGCUCAACCCCGGAACUGCCUUUGAUACUGGAUGUCUUGAGUCCGGAAGAGGUGAGUGGAAUUGCGAGU
This 520-nucleotide ribosomal RNA is filed under the name uncultured bacterium. Its description in RNAcentral is "bacterial SSU rRNA". It matches the Rfam family "Bacterial small subunit ribosomal RNA", at positions 120 to 674 of the family's 1533-position model. The record is from RNAcentral.